GUGGUGAUAACUCAGUGGUAGAGCACAUGCUUAGCAUGCAUGAGGUCCUGGGUUCAACUCCCAGUACCUCA
RNAcentral lists this transfer RNA (71 nucleotides) under Camelus bactrianus (Bactrian camel). It matches the Rfam family "tRNA". Rfam says of the family: Transfer RNA (tRNA) molecules are approximately 80 nucleotides in length. The record is from Rfam by way of RNAcentral. Lineage: Eukaryota; Metazoa; Chordata; Mammalia; Artiodactyla; Camelidae. RNAcentral also lists the same sequence under 2 other names.